Molecule: ribosomal RNA, 385 nt
Filed under: uncultured bacterium
Lineage: Bacteria
Description: bacterial SSU rRNA
Rfam family: Bacterial small subunit ribosomal RNA
Source: RNAcentral
AAUGGGCGAAAGCCUGAUCCAGCCAUGCCGCGUGAGUGAUGAAGGCCCUAGGGUUGUAAAGCUCUUUUGUGCGGGAAGAUAAUGACGGUACCGCAAGAAUAAGCCCCGGCUAACUUCGUGCCAGCAGCCGCGGUAAUACGAAGGGGGCUAGCGUUGCUCGGAAUCACUGGGCGUAAAGGGUGCGUAGGCGGAUUUUUAAGUCAGGGGUGAAAUCCUGGAGCUCAACUCCAGAACUGCCUUUGAUACUGGGAAUCUUGAGUUCGGGAGAGGUGAGUGGAACUGCGAGUGUAGAGGUGAAAUUCGUAGAUAUUCGCAAGAACACCAGUGGCGAAGGCGGCUCACUGGCCCGAUACUGACGCUGAGGCACGAAAGCGUGGGGAGCAAA